UAAGGAAUCUUCCACAAUGGGCGAAAGCCUGAUGGAGCAACGCCGCGUGCAGGAUGAAGGCCCUCGGGUCGUAAACUGCUUUUAUGAGUGAAGAAUAUGACGGUAACUCAUGAAUAAGCACCGGCUAACUACGUGCCAGCAGCCGCGGUCAUACGUAGGGUGCAAGCAUUAUCCGGAGUGACUGGGCGUAAAGAGUUGCGUAGGCGGUUAGUAAAGCGAAUAGUGAAACCUGGUGGCUCAACCAUACAGACUAUUAUUCGAACUCACUAACUCGAGAGUGGUAGAGGUUACUGGAAUUUCCUGUGUAGGAGUGAAAUCCGUAGAUAUAAGAAGGAACACCAAUGGCGUAGGCAGGUUACUGGACCAUUUCUGACGCUAAGGCACGAAAGCGUGGGGAGCGAACC
This 404-nucleotide ribosomal RNA is filed under the name uncultured bacterium. RNAcentral's name for it is "bacterial SSU rRNA". It matches the Rfam family "Bacterial small subunit ribosomal RNA", at positions 355 to 774 of the family's 1533-position model. The record is from RNAcentral.